CCUACGGGUGGCAGCAGUGGGGGAUAUUGCACAAUGGGGGAAACCCUGAUGCAGCGACGCCGCGUCGGCGAAGAAGUAUUUCGGUAUGUAAAGCCCGAUCAGCAGGGAAGAAGCAAUGACGGUACCUGCGUAAGAAGCACCGGCUAAAUACGUGCCAGCAGCCGCGGUAAUACUAAUGGUGCAAGCGUUAUCCGGAUUUACUGGGUGUAAAGGGAGCGCAGGCGGCACGGCAAGCCUGAUGUGAAAGCCCGCGGCCCAACCGCGGGACUGACUUGGGAACUACCGGGCUGGAGUGCCGGAGAGGUAGGCGGAAUUCCUAGUGUAGCGGUGAAAUGCGUAGAUAUUAGGAGGAACACCAGUGGCGAAGGCGGCCUACUGGACGGUGACUGACGCUGAGGCUCGAAAGCGUGGGGAGCAAACAGGAUUAGAUACCCCAGUAGUC
Molecule: ribosomal RNA, 442 nt
Filed under: uncultured bacterium
Lineage: Bacteria
Description: partial 16S ribosomal RNA
Rfam family: Bacterial small subunit ribosomal RNA
Source: RNAcentral